GCCCCCAUCGUCUAGAGGCCUAGGACACCAGCCUUUCAAGCUGGAAACAGCGAUUCGAAUUCGCUUGGGGGCA
Molecule: transfer RNA, 73 nt
Filed under: subsurface metagenome
Description: tRNA-Glu
Rfam family: tRNA
About the family: Transfer RNA (tRNA) molecules are approximately 80 nucleotides in length. Their secondary structure includes four short double-helical elements and three loops (D, anti-codon, and T loops). Further hydrogen bonds mediate the characteristic L-shaped molecular structure. tRNAs have two regions of fundamental functional importance: the anti-codon, which is responsible for specific mRNA codon recognition, and the 3' end, to which the tRNAs corresponding amino acid is attached (by aminoacyl-tRNA synthetases). tRNAs cope with the degeneracy of the genetic code in two manners: having more than one tRNA (with a specific anti-codon) for a particular amino acid; and 'wobble' base-pairing, i.e. permitting non-standard base-pairing at the 3rd anti-codon position.
Source: RNAcentral